AAUAGAUACCCAGGUAGUCCACGCCGUAAACGAUGGGUACUAGAUUUGGUGGGUCUUGACCCCCGCCGAAUCGGCGCUAACGCACUAAGUACCCCGCCUGGGAAGUACGGUCGCAAGACUAAAACUCAAAGGAAUUGACGGGGGCCCGCACAAGCGGUGGAUCAUGUGGUUUAAUUCGAAGCAACGCGAAGAACCUUACCUGGAUUUGACAUCCUCUGACAGCUGUAGAGAUACAGUCUUCGUAGCAAUACGACAGAGAGACAGGUGCUGCAUGGCUGUCGUCAGCUCGUGUGGUGACAUGUUGGGUUAAGUCCCGCAACGAGCGCAACCCUUGUCCUUAGUUGCCAGCAUUAAGUUGGGCUCUCUAAGGAGACUGCCGUGGUGAACACGGAGGAAGGUGGGGAUGACGUCAAGUCCUCAUGGCCUUUAUAUCCAGGGCGACACACGUGAUACAAUGGCCGGUCCGAACGGGAAGCCAACCCGCGAGGGGAGCGGAUCCCAGCAAACCCGGUCUCAGUUCAGAUUGCAGGCUG
RNAcentral lists this ribosomal RNA (533 nucleotides) under uncultured bacterium. Its description in RNAcentral is "bacterial SSU rRNA". It matches the Rfam family "Bacterial small subunit ribosomal RNA", at positions 777 to 1307 of the family's 1533-position model. The record is from RNAcentral.